ACAAGUGCGAGCGAGUCUAGGACUUCGAGAGAGUGCAUCCCAACACUGUAACUGAGAAACGGACCAGACUCUACGGAAGCAGCAGUAAGAUAUGUUCAUGGCGAGGCUUGAAAAGCCAUGGCGCGUGCAGAUGACUGCCCUAUGGGUGUAAACUGCUUUUGUCAGGAAUAAACCUUUCUACGUGUAGGAAGCUGAAUGUACUGGAAGAAUAAGGAUCGGCUAACUCCGUGCCAGCAGCCGCGGUAAUACGGAGGAUCCCGAGCGUUAUCCGGAUUUAUUGGGUUUAAAGGGUGCGUAGGCGGCCUAUUAAGUCAGGGGUGAAAUACGGUGGCUCAACCAUCGCAGUGCCUUUGAUACUGAUGGGCUUGAAUCCAUUUGAAGUGGGCGGAAUAAGACAAGUAGCGGUGAAAUGCAUAGAUAUGUCUUAGAACUCCGAUUGCGAAGGCAGCUCACUAAGCUGGUAUUGACGCUGAUGCACGAAAGCGUGGGGAUCGAACAGGAUUAGAUACCCUGGUAGUCCACGCCCUAAACGAUGAUAACUCGAUGUUGGCGAUAGACAGCCAGCGUCCAAGCGAAAGCGUUAAGUUAUCCACCUGGGGAGUACGCCCGCAAGGGUGAAACUCAAAGGAAUUGACGGGGGCCCGCACAAGCGGAGGAGCAUGUGGUUUAAUUCGAUGAUACGCGAGGAACCUUACCCGGGCUUGAAAGUUAGUGAAGAGUGCAGAGACGCACUCGUCCUUCGGGACACGAAACUAGGUGCUGCAUGGCUGUCGUCAGCUCGUGCCGUGAGGUGUUGGGUUAAGUCCCGCAACGAGCGCAACCCCUAUGUUUAGUUGCCAGCAUGUCAUGGUGGGGACUCUAAACAGACUGCCUGUGCAAACAGAGAGGAAGGUGGGGACGACGUCAAGUCAUCAUGGCCCUUACGUCCGGGGCUACACACGUGCUACAAUGGAUGGUACAGCGGGCAGCUACAUAGCAAUAUGAUGCUAAUCUCUAAAAGCCAUUCACAGUUCGGAUUGGGGUCUGCAACUCGACCCCAUGAAGUUGGAUUCGCUAGUAAUCGCGUAUCAGCAAUGACGCGGUGAAUACGUUCCCGGGCCUUGUACACACCGCCCGUCAAGCCAUGAAAGUUGGGGGUACGGAAGUGAGAUAAGGCGGUACG
This 1162-nucleotide ribosomal RNA is filed under the name Sphingobacterium sp. RNAcentral describes it as "bacterial SSU rRNA". It matches the Rfam family "Bacterial small subunit ribosomal RNA", at positions 267 to 1445 of the family's 1533-position model. Lineage: Bacteria; Pseudomonadati; Bacteroidota; Sphingobacteriia; Sphingobacteriales; Sphingobacteriaceae. The record is from RNAcentral.